GAUCCGGUAGCUCAGUUGGUAGAGCAUCUGACUUUUAAUCAGAUGGUCGCGAGUUCGAAUCUCGCCCGGAUCA
Molecule: transfer RNA, 73 nt
Filed under: Candidatus Sericytochromatia bacterium
Lineage: Bacteria; Bacillati; Candidatus Sericytochromatia
Description: tRNA-Lys
Rfam family: tRNA
About the family: Transfer RNA (tRNA) molecules are approximately 80 nucleotides in length. Their secondary structure includes four short double-helical elements and three loops (D, anti-codon, and T loops). Further hydrogen bonds mediate the characteristic L-shaped molecular structure. tRNAs have two regions of fundamental functional importance: the anti-codon, which is responsible for specific mRNA codon recognition, and the 3' end, to which the tRNAs corresponding amino acid is attached (by aminoacyl-tRNA synthetases). tRNAs cope with the degeneracy of the genetic code in two manners: having more than one tRNA (with a specific anti-codon) for a particular amino acid; and 'wobble' base-pairing, i.e. permitting non-standard base-pairing at the 3rd anti-codon position.
Source: RNAcentral